This 379-nucleotide unclassified non-coding RNA is filed under the name uncultured Paenibacillaceae bacterium. RNAcentral describes it as "contains 16S-23S intergenic spacer region". Lineage: Bacteria; Bacillati; Bacillota; Bacilli; Caryophanales; Paenibacillaceae. The record is from RNAcentral.
UCCGGUUUGUCACCGGCAGUCUGCUUAGAGUGCCCAGCUUGACCUGCUGGCAACUAAGCAUAAGGGUUGCGCUCGUUGCGGGACUUAACCCAACAUCUCACGACACGAGCUGACGACAACCAUGCACCACCUGUCUCCCCUGUCCCGAAGGAAAGAUCUAUCUCUAGACCGAUCAGGGGGAUGUCAAGACCUGGUAAGGUUCUUCGCGUUGCUUCGAAUUAAACCACAUACUCCACUGCUUGUGCGGGUCCCCGUCAAUUCCUUUGAGUUUCAGUCUUGCGACCGUACUCCCCAGGCGGAAUGCUUAAUGUGUUAACUUCGGCACCAAGGGUAUCGAAACCCCUAACACCUAGCAUUCAUCGUUUACGGCGUGGACUAC